RNAcentral lists this transfer RNA (72 nucleotides) under Cucumis melo subsp. agrestis. Its description in RNAcentral is "tRNA-Trp". It matches the Rfam family "tRNA". From Rfam's summary of the family: Transfer RNA (tRNA) molecules are approximately 80 nucleotides in length. Their secondary structure includes four short double-helical elements and three loops (D, anti-codon, and T loops). Further hydrogen bonds mediate the characteristic L-shaped molecular structure. tRNAs have two regions of fundamental functional importance: the anti-codon, which is responsible for specific mRNA codon recognition, and the 3' end, to which the tRNAs corresponding amino acid is attached (by aminoacyl-tRNA synthetases). tRNAs cope with the degeneracy of the genetic code in two manners: having more than one tRNA (with a specific anti-codon) for a particular amino acid; and 'wobble' base-pairing, i.e. permitting non-standard base-pairing at the 3rd anti-codon position. RNAcentral also lists the same sequence under 2 other names. Lineage: Eukaryota; Viridiplantae; Streptophyta; Magnoliopsida; Cucurbitales; Cucurbitaceae. The record is from RNAcentral.
GCGCUCUUAUCAGUUCGGUAGAACGUGGGUCUCCAAAACCCGAUGUCGUAGGUUCAAAUCCUACAGAGCUCC